UAUGAACGCUGGCGGCGUGCCUAAUACAUGCAAGUCGAGCGAACAGACGAGGAGCUUGCUCCUCUGACGUUAGCGGCGGACGGGUGAGUAACACGUGGAUAACCUACCUAUAAGACUGGGAUAACUUCGGGAAACCGGAGCUAAUACCGGAUAAUAUAUUGAACCGCAUGGUUCAAUAGUGAAAGACGGUUUUGCUGUCACUUAUAGAUGGAUCCGCGCCGCAUUAGCUAGUUGGUAAGGUAACGGCUUACCAAGGCAACGAUGCGUAGCCGACCUGAGAGGGUGAUCGGCCACACUGGAACUGAGACACGGUCCAGACUCCUACGGGAGGCAGCAGUAGGGAAUCUUCCGCAAUGGGCGAAAGCUUGACGGAGCAACGCCGCGUGAGUGAUGAAGGUCUUCGGAUCGUAAAACUCUGUUAUUAGGGAAGAACAAAUGUGUAAGUAACUAUGCACGUCUUGACGGUACCUAAUCAGAAAGCCACGGCUAACUACGUG
RNAcentral lists this ribosomal RNA (497 nucleotides) under uncultured bacterium. RNAcentral's name for it is "partial 16S ribosomal RNA". It matches the Rfam family "Bacterial small subunit ribosomal RNA", at positions 29 to 507 of the family's 1533-position model. The record is from RNAcentral.